CCCUUAGAUGUUCUGGGCCGCACGCGCGCUACACUGAUCAGUGCAACAAGCAUCCGUCCUUGGCCGACAGGCCCGGGCAAUCUUUGAACGCUGAUCGUGAUGGGGAUAGACUUUUGCAAUUUUUGGUCUUCAACGAGGAAUUCCUAGUAAACGCAAGUCAUCAACUUGCAUUGAUUACGUCCCUGCCCUUUGUACACACCGCCCGUCGCACCUACCGAUUGAAUGGUCCGGUGAAGCCUCCGGAUUGGCGUGCACCCUCGGGUGCUGCCGAGAAGUUGGCUAAACCUUACCAUUUAGAGGAAGGAGAAGUCGUAACA
This 317-nucleotide ribosomal RNA is filed under the name uncultured eukaryote. RNAcentral describes it as "partial 18S ribosomal RNA". It matches the Rfam family "Eukaryotic small subunit ribosomal RNA", at positions 1470 to 1796 of the family's 1831-position model. The record is from RNAcentral.